RNAcentral lists this ribosomal RNA (482 nucleotides) under uncultured bacterium. RNAcentral's name for it is "partial 16S ribosomal RNA". It matches the Rfam family "Bacterial small subunit ribosomal RNA", at positions 30 to 507 of the family's 1533-position model. The record is from RNAcentral.
AUUGAACGCUGGCGGCAUGCUUUACACAUGCAAGUCGAACGGUAACAGGCCGCAAGGUGCUGACGAGUGGCGAACGGGUGAGUAAUGCAUCGGAACGUGCCCAGUCGUGGGGGAUAACUACUCGAAAGAGUAGCUAAUACCGCAUACGAUCUAUGGAUGAAAGCGGGGGACCGUAAGGCCUCGCGCGAUUGGAGAGGCCGAUGUCAGAUUAGGUAGUUGGUGGGGUAAAGGCUCACCAAGCCAACGAUCUGUAGCUGGUCUGAGAGGACAACCAGCCACACUGGGACUGCGAAACGGCCCAGACUCCUACGGGAGGCAGCAGUGGGGAAUUUUGGACAAUGGGCGCAAGCCUGAUCCAGCAAUGCCGCGUGCAGGAAGAAGGCCUUCGGGUUGUAAACUGCUUUUGUACGGAACGAAACGGCUCUGGUUAAUACCCGGGGCUAAUGACGGUACCGUAAGAAUAAGCACCGGCUAACUACGUG